AGUGAACGCUGGCGGUAGGCCUAACACAUGCAAGUCGAACGGCAGCACAGUAAGAGCUUGCUCUUACGGGUGGCGAGUGGCGGACGGGUGAGGAAUACAUCGGAAUCUACUUUUUCGUGGGGGAUAACGGAGGGAAACUUACGCUAAUACCGCAUACGACCUACGGGUGAAAGCAGGGGAUCUUCGGACCUUUCGCGAUUGAAAGAGCCGAUGUCGGAUUAGCUAGUUGGCGGGGUAAAGGCCCACCAAGGCGACGAUCCGUAGCUGGUCUGAGAGGAUGAUCAGCCACACUGGAACUGAGACACGGUCCAGACUCCUACGGGAGGCAGCAGUGGGGAAUAUUGGACAAUGGGCGCAAGCCUGAUCCAGCCAUACCGCGUGGGUGAAGAAGGCCUUCGGGUUGUAAAGCCCUUUUGUUGGGAAAGAAAAGCAGCAGGUUAAUACCCCGCUGUUCUGACGGUACCCAAAGAAUAAGCACCGGCUAACUUCGUG
Molecule: ribosomal RNA, 492 nt
Filed under: uncultured bacterium
Lineage: Bacteria
Description: partial 16S ribosomal RNA
Rfam family: Bacterial small subunit ribosomal RNA
Source: RNAcentral